Phyllostomus discolor (pale spear-nosed bat) is the source of this 101-nucleotide long non-coding RNA. RefSeq lists it as uncharacterized. NCBI's taxonomy places the organism in Eukaryota, Metazoa, Chordata, Mammalia, Chiroptera, Phyllostomidae. The record is from RefSeq and is a predicted model, not a curated record. The transcript has 3 exons.
GAGAAACUGCAGACAGGGUUCCAGACAACAGCAAUUAAGCAAAAAUCACAAUGAAGCCAGCCACGUGAAAUUUUUGGUUUCCCAGGGCAUAUAAAAGUUAU